CCCGGGCCUUGUACACACCGCCCGUCACACCACGAAAGUCGGCUCGACCCGAAGUCGCUAACCCAACCGCAAGGAGGGAGGCGCCAACGGUCUGGUCGAUGAUUGGGGUG
RNAcentral lists this ribosomal RNA (110 nucleotides) under uncultured bacterium. RNAcentral's name for it is "partial 16S ribosomal RNA". It matches the Rfam family "Bacterial small subunit ribosomal RNA", at positions 1373 to 1482 of the family's 1533-position model. The record is from RNAcentral.